This 384-nucleotide ribosomal RNA is filed under the name uncultured bacterium. RNAcentral's name for it is "bacterial SSU rRNA". It matches the Rfam family "Bacterial small subunit ribosomal RNA", at positions 29 to 400 of the family's 1533-position model. The record is from RNAcentral.
AGCGAACGCUGGCGGCGUGCCUAACACAUGCAAGUCGAACGUGAACGGGGGCAACUCCUAGUAAAGUGGCGUACGGGUGAGUAACACGUAGGUAAUCUACCCAAGAGUCUGGAAUAACCGGCCGAAAGGCUGGCUAAUACUGGAUAGUUCAAGGAGCUCGUAAAGGAGCACUUUGGGAAAGGGAGGCCGUAAGGUCCCUUGCUUUUGGAUGAGCCUGCGUCCCAUCAGGUAGUUGGUAGGGUAAAAGCCUACCAAGCCGAUGACGGGUAGCUGGUCUGAGAGGAUGAUCAGCCACACUGGAACUGAAACACGGUCCAGACUCCUACGGGAGGCAGCAGUGGGGAAUCUUGCGCAAUGGACGAAAGUCUGACGCAGCAACGCCGC